This 741-nucleotide ribosomal RNA is filed under the name uncultured bacterium. Its description in RNAcentral is "bacterial SSU rRNA". It matches the Rfam family "Bacterial small subunit ribosomal RNA", at positions 59 to 771 of the family's 1533-position model. The record is from RNAcentral.
CAGUCGUACGCUUCUUUUUCCACCGGAGCUUGCUCCACCGGAAAAAGAAGAGUGGCGAACGGGUGAGUAACACGUGGGUAACCUGCCCAUCAGAAGGGGAUAACACUUGGAAACAGGUGCUAAUACCGUAUAACAAUCGAAACCGCAUGGUUUUGAUUUGAAAGGCGCUUUCGGGUGUCGCUGAUGGAUGGACCCGCGGUGCAUUAGCUAGUUGGUGAGGUAACGGCUCACCAAGGCCACGAUGCAUAGCCGACCUGAGAGGGUGAUCGGCCACAUUGGGACUGAGACACGGCCCAAACUCCUACGGGAGGCAGCAGUAGGGAAUCUUCGGCAAUGGACGAAAGUCUGACCGAGCAACGCCGCGUGAGUGAAGAAGGUUUUCGGAUCGUAAAACUCUGUUGUUAGAGAAGAACAAGGAUGAGAGUAACUGUUCAUCCCUUGACGGUAUCUAACCAGAAAGCCACGGCUAACUACGUGCCAGCAGCCGCGGUAAUACGUAGGUGGCAAGCGUUGUCCGGAUUUAUUGGGCGUAAAGCGAGCGCAGGCGGUUUCUUAAGUCUGAUGUGAAAGCCCCCGGCUCAACCGGGGAGGGUCAUUGGAAACUGGGAGACUUGAGUGCAGAAGAGGAGAGUGGAAUUCCAUGUGUAGCGGUGAAAUGCGUAGAUAUAUGGAGGAACACCAGUGGCGAAGGCGGCUCUCUGGUCUGUAACUGACGCUGAAGCUCGAAAGCGUGGGGAGCAA